GUAGAACUUUCCAGCCUGCCUUCAGACCCAGAUUUGCCAAUGGAAUUUAUUGCCAGAAGUAGAAAAAGUUUUCAGGAGUGCCCCUUGUGUGAACAGGUGUCCUGGGGAAACCAAUUACUGAGAGCCCCUUGGAGAGGUCAUAGAAUUGUAAAAUCAGGGCUGCAGGGAUCUCCCUGUCAGGAUUUCCUUGGGAUGCAGCAGCACCUGGACUCUGGGACACAGGGAAGGUGCUCCUGUGCUCUGUCUCCCAGGUAAAGCUGCCUUAAAACCUGCCUAAAAACCUGCCUUAAACAACACAAAUCUGAG
RNAcentral lists this long non-coding RNA (306 nucleotides) under Parus major (Great Tit). Its description in RNAcentral is "lncRNA (ENSPMJG00000005041.1)". Lineage: Eukaryota; Metazoa; Chordata; Aves; Passeriformes; Paridae. The record is from RNAcentral.